This is a long non-coding RNA of Monomorium pharaonis (pharaoh ant), 591 nucleotides long. RefSeq lists it as uncharacterized. The transcript has 2 exons. The record is from RefSeq and is a predicted model, not a curated record. NCBI's taxonomy places the organism in Eukaryota, Metazoa, Arthropoda, Insecta, Hymenoptera, Formicidae.
UUGCAGUGACUGCUUAUCCCACAUAGCACAUGAUAUUAUACGAAUAUUAUAUACUCAUACUGAAAGUACUGUAGUCGUACGUACCAUUCCUAACAUUCUAAGUAUAUUCGUAUAACAUCUUGAUCAGUAUAUCAUUUUUCAUAUGUUCUUAAGUUCAUACUCAGAAUGAACGAACAAACUACGAUGCUUAUACUGAUUAUCCGUAUACUGUGAUUAUCCGUAAUAUAUGAGAACAUAAAUAAGAACCUUGCGGUUAUCUCAUGUAUAAAAAUUUACAUCGAUCGCGCACUGAUUCACACCCAAAGCGCUAUCAUUACCUUAUUCUCCCUUGUAAGCAUUAGUCUGAGCGUAAAACUGUCAACGUAUAUUCUGCAGAACAUACUCAGUUUAAGCGCUACCUACGGCAGUGUCGGCGGUUCCCACAGUGUCCCCAGCUGUUUUGUCUUUCCGAUGAGUUUACGUUUGCUGGGUUGCACGAUUUCGCAAGAGAUUCUUUAUCCAAGGAAGCAGCCGAAGAACUGCCGAGGUGUCUCAAAUUAGUUUUAUAUCCGGACGAUGUAAAACCGGAUAAAAAUAUUAAGGACCAGUUAA